CCUACGGGUGGCUGCAGUGAGGAAUAUUGGGCAAUGGUCGGGAGACUGAACCAGCCAAGCCGCGUGAGGGAUGAAGGUACAGAGUAUCGUAAACCUCUUUUGGCAGGGAACAAAGGCGGGGACGUGUCCCCGGAUGAGUGUACCUGAAGAAAAAGCAUCGGCUAACUCCGUGCCAGCAGCCGCGGUAAUACGGAGGAUGCGAGCGUUAUCCGGAUUGAUUGGGGUUAAAGGGUGCGCAGGCGGUCUGUUAAGGGAGCGGGCAAAGCCCGGGGGUCAACCCCGGGCCGGCCGUUGAACCGGGCAGUCUCGAGUUGGAGAGAGGUAUGCGGAAUGCGGGGUGUAGCGGUGAAAUGCAUAGAUAUCGCGCAGAACUCCGAUUGCGAAGGCAGCAUGCCGGCUCCACACUGACGCUGAGGCACGAAAGCGUGGGUAUCGAACAGGAUUAGAUACCCCAGUAGUC
RNAcentral lists this ribosomal RNA (460 nucleotides) under uncultured bacterium. Its description in RNAcentral is "partial 16S ribosomal RNA". It matches the Rfam family "Bacterial small subunit ribosomal RNA", at positions 338 to 795 of the family's 1533-position model. The record is from RNAcentral.